CUUCCGAUUUUCCGAUCUGACACUCGAUCGUCCGGAGAGAUUUGCGGACGAUCUCGACCGUCGAUUCGCAAACGAAGUCCGAUCGCCACGAAACUAGUGCCAUCGCGAAGCUUGAGCUGAGGAGAGUCGGGAUAUGUCCUCCGAUCAUCCAUCCUCCGCCGGAGCUCGCCGGAAAAGCCCAAAAACGCGGCUGCCUCCACUUUCUCUCUCCACCGUGAAUCUCCGAUUCCGGCCACCACUGUCGACACCGCUGCCGCCAAAACAAAGCCGAGGCCGAGAGGAGUCGAU
This 288-nucleotide long non-coding RNA is filed under the name Ricinus communis (castor bean). Its description in RNAcentral is "long non-coding RNA (RCOM_LNC002404)". Lineage: Eukaryota; Viridiplantae; Streptophyta; Magnoliopsida; Malpighiales; Euphorbiaceae. The record is from RNAcentral.